Non-coding RNA from Heterocephalus glaber (naked mole-rat), 1332 nucleotides. The record is from RefSeq and is a predicted model, not a curated record. NCBI's taxonomy places the organism in Eukaryota, Metazoa, Chordata, Mammalia, Rodentia, Bathyergidae.
CCUUGGGAAGCAGGACUUUGUAAAGGUUUCUUCAGGAUGGGGCUAGUGAAGCCCUAGAAUGCUGUGAGUAGAUCCUGAUGUAUUGCAGUUCUGGCUAUAGCUCAGAAGACCAGAAUAAUGAGAGGAAGAAAGGCUCAUGGGGUUUCAGAUGGUCACACUUUUGGGACUUGGACUAGGGACCAUGCAUAUUAUCUUCUGGCAAAGAACUUACUUUUAUUUUGUCUGUAUCCUAAGUCUUUGUAUGAGGCUAAAUUAACAGGGAGUGGACAAAUGGAUUUGAUGGAGGAAAUUUCAGUCCAUUCUGACAUUCAAGGUGUGGCCUGUGCAUUACUGCCUGCUUUUAGGCAAAUUCAUAGCAAAAAUCAGGAGCAAAAAGGAGAGCACAAAGAUUUGUAGAAAUUGAACUUUGAUCAGAAAGUAAGCACAUUUAAAGUUGAGGCAAAAGAGGUAUGAUUCCUGAAGAGAUUAGCACCAUUAAGGGCUGGGGAUUUAGCUCAGUGGUUCCGCUGCUGCGCAAACCUGCAAUCCCAGCACUCAGGAGAGGGGCAGGCCAGCCUCGGCUGUAUGGGAAGAUCCUGUCUCAGAAAAAGUUUACAUGAUAGGUACAUCUGUGAGUACAGAUCAGAGAAGUUAGAGAUUAGCACCAUUAAAAAGAUACCAAAUACUUUGAACCAGGACAAGAAGAAAGAUGCCUAGAGAGAAUCUCAGGAAUCAGCAAGACCCUACCCAUUUCAAGCUCAAAAGUGCAAAAAAGCAAACUUUUCAUUUGAGAAGAGACCCUCUAGGGCCCCUGCUCAAGAAGGGCUGCCUGGGAUAUUGGUUCUCCAGGAUUUAUUUCAUCAUGCUCAAUCAUCAGAUACUCAGAGGCUGCCUCAACCAUGGUCCAAAGGGACCUGAUUACUAUUUGAGCUGACAGUAGUCCUUGUCAUCAACCACAUGAUGCUCUUUUUUUCAGGCAUGCAGAAUGCAAGUGGCAUCAUGGAAGCUUUCACCCAGAUUUCAAAGGAAGGCCUGUGAGGCCGGGCAAUGUGCAUCUGAGAGGGCAGUGCAUGAAGCUGUGGGAAUGAAGCUGAAGAGUCCUAGAGGAUCCAGUGUACAGGAACAUUUCUAUUUCAGUAUAUCAGCUUUGGCUUAUGCCACCAAGGAGGUAAUUUAAAAUCACACAUUUGCAUGUGGUACAGGCCUGAAGAUUCAGCUCUUGAGAAGUGACUUCAUUAUCAUCCAUGGUCUCUGAAAGAUGCAAAUUCCUCAUUUUCAUGCUAUCCCAGGAAUUGUUACUUUCUUAAUUCUCUUUGAUGUGAAUAAAGGAAUAUUUUUCUUCCUUUUUCCUCA